Molecule: ribosomal RNA, 380 nt
Filed under: uncultured bacterium
Lineage: Bacteria
Description: bacterial SSU rRNA
Rfam family: Bacterial small subunit ribosomal RNA
Source: RNAcentral
GACGAACGCUGGCGGCGUGCUUAACACAUGCAAGUCGAGCGGUAAGGCCCUUUGGGGUACACGAGCGGCGAACGGGUGAGUAACACGUGAGUAAUCUGCCUUUGGCUUGGGAAUAACUUCGGGAAAUCGGGGCUAAUGCCUGAUGUUUACUGUCUGCUGCAUGGUGGGUGGUGGAAAGAUUUUUUGGCCAGGGAUGAGCUCGCGGUCUAUCAGCUUGUUGGUGGGGUAAUGGCUACCAAGGCUUUGACGGGUAGCCGGCCUGAGAGGGUGUUCGGCCACACUGGGGACUGAGACACGGCCCAGACUCCUACGGGAGGCAGCAGUGGGGAAUAUUGCGCAAUGGGCGUAAGCCUGACGCAGCGACGCCGCGUGGGGAUGAA